CAGUCGCGGGUUGUGAGGCGGGGGGUUGUCCCGCUCCUUCGCCGGCAGCCCUCUGGGCGGUAUCGCCUGGCAGGGGUUGUGCAGGCGAAUGGCUGCCCACGGCGCUGGGCUGUGCCUCGCUCCGGGGAGCCGGACGGCGCCUCCCUGGCAGGAGCCCCCAGCCCCCCCGCCCCCGGUCCAAGGCCAGGAGAAGCUUUUCAGAACUCGGGAACGAGCGCAGGCCUGCGUGUCCCAGGGUUUUCAAAUGGAGGCCGGUGUUUGGUGGAAAUGCACAACUCGUGGGCCAAAGGCUGAAAAGCACUGCUUGCCCGGCUCCGAAAGAAGCCUCCAGAGGCCUUUUUGCUGAGGCAUGCUCCUCUGCCUCGUUUGGUAUUUGCAAAAAGAAGAGGCUGUCUUCAGUCAGGCUGGCACAGAAAUCCAAAGCAGAAGACCUGCUCAACAAAGAACAAUUACUGCACUUACAGAUCUGCUUCCCCUGCAUACAUACAUUAUUAAUGAAGACUACAGAUGCCCCUACAGAGGAGAAAAGGGACCCUCUAGAGAAUAAUGUAGAUGUUAAAAAUCAGAUGACGUAAAUCCAAGCUCUUGGGAAUAACGAAGGUGGCCUAUUGACAGAAACCUCAAGAUCAAACUGCUUUGGAAGAAUCCACAAAAAGGAAAUGUUCAUUACCAAAUCAGAAAUCAAAGGAAAAGAGUUGAUGUACUGAGCUUGGAGUAAAGAAUUUAAGAGACUUUCCUUCUCCUUCCCCUCCUCUGUGCUGGCUGCAUUUGGUACUAGCAGCCAUGCGGAAUGUACUAUGGUCACAAGACAGCCCACCCCUCUCUUUACCUGGAGAAUGUAUCUUCCCUUGAUAGAAAAACAGAAGUCCUCUUUUCUAGAGCUUUUGUCCAGCAGGUUUGCGACAACGACAUUGAUUGUAUUGUAAAUUAGGACCAUCUGAAGUGGAGACCAAUGCCUGAAAGUCUUUAUCCUUUAAGCUUGUUUUUCCCUGAAGUCAAAAUACUGAACAAAUGUUGGUAUAAACAAUUAUACAAUCCGUGAUGGAGCUGGGCUGUGCAUAAUCUGGGUGCCCAUCCAUAGUGGCUAGAAAAGUCCUAUGGGAUGUGGUCAGCUUCACUUGACACACUGACAGUCUCCAUUUGCAUCCUAUUCAGCUGUAAGGUGCAGAACAUGGUGUUGGGAAACUUGGUAUGUUUCUUGCAUUCCUGUUGGGAAGCAUCGUCUCAUCACUGACAAACACCAGAGAAGGUACCGAGGACCAUGAGCAAUCUUCUCCCAGCCUCAGCAUCAACCAGCCAAGUUAAGUAAGCUUUCAGCCAGGAGAGGAAAAAAGUAUUUCUUUCUCCAGUUCCUUUCUUCUACAAUCCCUGCUUUUGAGCAAGAGCUAACUGCUGAUCAGAUCUUUCUGUUUUCAUCCUUUGCAAAGCUCUGAAAAACUGUCUGGUCUCUCCAUGAAACAACCAAUGGAACAAAUUGUUUAGCAGACAGAAGAAAGGCCACAUCUUAUUCAGGAGAGUUUCCCAUGCCCAAUCACCCAGCUGUGCAUGGUGGAGUAGAUUUGUAGGGUGAAAUAGUUACUCUGCACCCCGCAGUGCUGGAUCGGCCCAGAACACCAUGUGCAGACAUGAACCAAGCAUAGGUAUGCCCAAUAGAGUCUGUGACAGUGAGUGCUCCUUUUUCAGACUUUCAAAGUCUGUAUUCAGUUUUCUGUUACUGAUUGUCUGAUUAUUUGUCCUAAAACAUUUAUUUACAUUUAGCUGCUAAAAGAGGUGGCUCACCUGGAGAAAAAAGUGUCUCCAUUAAGUGUUUUUUCUCAUUUUUU
Long non-coding RNA from Harpia harpyja (harpy eagle), 1823 nucleotides. RefSeq lists it as uncharacterized. The record is from RefSeq and is a predicted model, not a curated record. Lineage: Eukaryota; Metazoa; Chordata; Aves; Accipitriformes; Accipitridae. The transcript has 5 exons.